AGGAUCAGCCCGCGUAAGAUUAGAUAGUUGGUGGGGUAAUGGCCUACCAAGUCUACGAUCUUUAGCUGGUUUUAGAGGAUGAUCAGCAACACUGGGACUGAGACACGGCCCAGACUCCUACGGGAGGCAGCAGUGGGGAAUCUUGGACAAUGGGCGCAAGCCUGAUCCAGCCAUGCCGCGUGUGUGAUGAAGGCCUUAGGGUCGUAAAGC
Molecule: ribosomal RNA, 210 nt
Filed under: uncultured bacterium
Lineage: Bacteria
Description: partial 16S ribosomal RNA
Rfam family: Bacterial small subunit ribosomal RNA
Source: RNAcentral